This 2932-nucleotide ribosomal RNA is filed under the name Escherichia coli. Its description in RNAcentral is "23S ribosomal RNA". It matches the Rfam family "Bacterial large subunit ribosomal RNA". Lineage: Bacteria; Pseudomonadati; Pseudomonadota; Gammaproteobacteria; Enterobacterales; Enterobacteriaceae. The record is from RNAcentral.
GGGUUGUGAGGUUAAGCGACUAAGCGUACACGGUGGAUGCCCUGGCAGUCAGAGGCGAUGAAGGACGUGCUAAUCUGCGAUAAGCGUCGGUAAGGUGAUAUGAACCGUUAUAACCGGCGAUUUCCGAAUGGGGAAACCCAGUGUGUUUCGACACACUAUCAUUAACUGAAUCCAUAGGUUAAUGAGGCGAACCGGGGGAACUGAAACAUCUAAGUACCCCGAGGAAAAGAAAUCAACCGAGAUUCCCCCAGUAGCGGCGAGCGAACGGGGAGCAGCCCAGAGCCUGAAUCAGUGUGUGUGUUAGUGGAAGCGUCUGGAAAGGCGCGCGAUACAGGGUGACAGCCCCGUACACAAAAAUGCACAUGCUGUGAGCUCGAUGAGUAGGGCGGGACACGUGGUAUCCUGUCUGAAUAUGGGGGGACCAUCCUCCAAGGCUAAAUACUCCUGACUGACCGAUAGUGAACCAGUACCGUGAGGGAAAGGCGAAAAGAACCCCGGCGAGGGGAGUGAAAAAGAACCUGAAACCGUGUACGUACAAGCAGUGGGAGCACGCUUAGGCGUGUGACUGCGUACCUUUUGUAUAAUGGGUCAGCGACUUAUAUUCUGUAGCAAGGUUAACCGAAUAGGGGAGCCGAAGGGAAACCGAGUCUUAACUGGGCGUUAAGUUGCAGGGUAUAGACCCGAAACCCGGUGAUCUAGCCAUGGGCAGGUUGAAGGUUGGGUAACACUAACUGGAGGACCGAACCGACUAAUGUUGAAAAAUUAGCGGAUGACUUGUGGCUGGGGGUGAAAGGCCAAUCAAACCGGGAGAUAGCUGGUUCUCCCCGAAAGCUAUUUAGGUAGCGCCUCGUGAAUUCAUCUCCGGGGGUAGAGCACUGUUUCGGCAAGGGGGUCAUCCCGACUUACCAACCCGAUGCAAACUGCGAAUACCGGAGAAUGUUAUCACGGGAGACACACGGCGGGUGCUAACGUCCGUCGUGAAGAGGGAAACAACCCAGACCGCCAGCUAAGGUCCCAAAGUCAUGGUUAAGUGGGAAACGAUGUGGGAAGGCCCAGACAGCCAGGAUGUUGGCUUAGAAGCAGCCAUCAUUUAAAGAAAGCGUAAUAGCUCACUGGUCGAGUCGGCCUGCGCGGAAGAUGUAACGGGGCUAAACCAUGCACCGAAGCUGCGGCAGCGACGCUUAUGCGUUGUUGGGUAGGGGAGCGUUCUGUAAGCCUGCGAAGGUGUGCUGUGAGGCAUGCUGGAGGUAUCAGAAGUGCGAAUGCUGACAUAAGUAACGAUAAAGCGGGUGAAAAGCCCGCUCGCCGGAAGACCAAGGGUUCCUGUCCAACGUUAAUCGGGGCAGGGUGAGUCGACCCCUAAGGCGAGGCCGAAAGGCGUAGUCGAUGGGAAACAGGUUAAUAUUCCUGUACUUGGUGUUACUGCGAAGGGGGGACGGAGAAGGCUAUGUUGGCCGGGCGACGGUUGUCCCGGUUUAAGCGUGUAGGCUGGUUUUCCAGGCAAAUCCGGAAAAUCAAGGCUGAGGCGUGAUGACGAGGCACUACGGUGCUGAAGCAACAAAUGCCCUGCUUCCAGGAAAAGCCUCUAAGCAUCAGGUAACAUCAAAUCGUACCCCAAACCGACACAGGUGGUCAGGUAGAGAAUACCAAGGCGCUUGAGAGAACUCGGGUGAAGGAACUAGGCAAAAUGGUGCCGUAACUUCGGGAGAAGGCACGCUGAUAUGUAGGUGAAGCGACUUGCUCGUGGAGCUGAAAUCAGUCGAAGAUACCAGCUGGCUGCAACUGUUUAUUAAAAACACAGCACUGUGCAAACACGAAAGUGGACGUAUACGGUGUGACGCCUGCCCGGUGCCGGAAGGUUAAUUGAUGGGGUUAGCCGCAAGGCGAAGCUCUUGAUCGAAGCCCCGGUAAACGGCGGCCGUAACUAUAACGGUCCUAAGGUAGCGAAAUUCCUUGUCGGGUAAGUUCCGACCUGCACGAAUGGCGUAAUGAUGGCCAGGCUGUCUCCACCCGAGACUCAGUGAAAUUGAACUCGCUGUGAAGAUGCAGUGUACCCGCGGCAAGACGGAAAGACCCCGUGAACCUUUACUAUAGCUUGACACUGAACAUUGAGCCUUGAUGUGUAGGAUAGGUGGGAGGCUUUGAAGUGUGGACGCCAGUCUGCAUGGAGCCGACCUUGAAAUACCACCCUUUAAUGUUUGAUGUUCUAACGUUGACCCGUAAUCCGGGUUGCGGACAGUGUCUGGUGGGUAGUUUGACUGGGGCGGUCUCCUCCUAAAGAGUAACGGAGGAGCACGAAGGUUGGCUAAUCCUGGUCGGACAUCAGGAGGUUAGUGCAAUGGCAUAAGCCAGCUUGACUGCGAGCGUGACGGCGCGAGCAGGUGCGAAAGCAGGUCAUAGUGAUCCGGUGGUUCUGAAUGGAAGGGCCAUCGCUCAACGGAUAAAAGGUACUCCGGGGAUAACAGGCUGAUACCGCCCAAGAGUUCAUAUCGACGGCGGUGUUUGGCACCUCGAUGUCGGCUCAUCACAUCCUGGGGCUGAAGUAGGUCCCAAGGGUAUGGCUGUUCGCCAUUUAAAGUGGUACGCGAGCUGGGUUUAGAACGUCGUGAGACAGUUCGGUCCCUAUCUGCCGUGGGCGCUGGAGAACUGAGGGGGGCUGCUCCUAGUACGAGAGGACCGGAGUGGACGCAUCACUGGUGUUCGGGUUGUCAUGCCAAUGGCACUGCCCGGUAGCUAAAUGCGGAAGAGAUAAGUGCUGAAAGCAUCUAAGCACGAAACUUGCCCCGAGAUGAGUUCUCCCUGACCCUUUAAGGGUCCUGAAGGAACGUUGAAGACGACGACGUUGAUAGGCCGGGUGUGUAAGCGCAGCGAUGCGUUGAGCUAACCGGUACUAAUGAACCGUGAGGCUUAACCUUACAACGCCGAAGCUGUU